GGACACAUCUUACUUGACAGAGAUUGGUAGUACAAACAUGUGGAGUUCACAGCUAAGUGUUGAUUCCUUCUCAGCAGCACUAACUUUUUUUUAUAGUCUAUGGCUUUAGCUAUACAUGCAAGAUAUUUCUGUUCAUACUUUGAUUUUUUUAUCUUACAAAAUAACAAGUUUCCUUACUGCUUUUUUAUACAUACUUCAGUUGACCCACUCCAGUACAUACCAUCCCUCUCCUUCCAUGAACCUGAUCCACCAUUUGAAAUAUCUUACAGACUGUUUUCUUGCUAUAUUCUCUUUUAACUUUAAAAAUUAUCCUUCUAAGCACAAGAAUAGUGUCUGAUUUCUAUUUCUCUUAUCAUCCAAUACGGUUUUGUUUGUCUAGGGGUAAAUUCUCUUUGUUAUGUGUUUCCAAAAAUUAAAAAAGAAUUCAGAUGUGGCAGUAUUUUUUAUUGUGUUGACAGUGACCUACCUCUUUUUCUAGUUCAUUUGUUAAGUUUUAUCUUAUGUGUAUGUUUGCUUUGCCUAUAUGCAUGUCCAUGUACCACUGGGAUUCUGGUGCCUGCAACAGCCAGAAUAGGGUAUGAGUUUGCCCAAAAUUGGAGUUACUGGUGCUUCUAUGCCACUGUAAGGAUGCUGAGAACUGAAUCCACGUCAUCUAGAAAAGCAACUAGUACUCUUAAUUGCUGAGACAUCUCUUCAGCCACAUGGCCAUGUUUUGUGACACUGUUUGCUUAUCUCUCUAUGAAAGAGAAAAAUGACACAAAAAGAUCAAGAUUUAUCAUCAACUCUGGCCACUCAAGGCCAGAAUCCAGGGCCAAAUGGCUGAUGAGUGAUACUGAAUGUACUAUGUCGUAUUUAUUUCCUUUUUUUUUACAUUGUAUUAUAAUUU
Molecule: long non-coding RNA, 886 nt
Filed under: Mus musculus (house mouse)
Lineage: Eukaryota; Metazoa; Chordata; Mammalia; Rodentia; Muridae
Description: long non-coding RNA chrX:77644371-77645257
Source: RNAcentral